RNAcentral lists this unclassified non-coding RNA (216 nucleotides) under Hevea brasiliensis (rubber tree). Lineage: Eukaryota; Viridiplantae; Streptophyta; Magnoliopsida; Malpighiales; Euphorbiaceae. The record is from RNAcentral.
CGGUUCGUCUCUAGAAGCGAAGAAGAAAUCUGGUCGUUAACAAGGACGAUGAUACUGUCCAAGAUUUUUGAAGUAAUCGUAAUAAAUGGUACGAAUGGACAGGCUGCUGCGGUUUCAGUAGUAUAGAAUGGAGUUGUUGAUAUUGGGAAGCGGUUCCUUAAUGUUUUUGAAGUGUCGAUAACUCUGUUUAUGCUGUUCGAUGCUUGUACAUUAUAG